CCUACGGGAGGCUGCAGUGGGGAAUAUUGGACAAUGGGGGGAACCCUGAUCCAGCCAUGCCGCGUGUGUGAAGAAGGCCCUCGGGUUGUAAAGCACUUUCAGUGAGGAAGAACGCCUGGUGGUUUAUACCCAUCAGGAAAGACAUCACUCACAGAAGAAGCACCGGCUAACUCCGUGCCAGCAGCCGCGGUAAUACGGAGGGUGCGAGCGUUAAUCGGAAUUACUGGGCGUAAAGCGCGCGUAGGUGGCUUGAUAAGCCGGUUGUGAAAGCCCCGGGCUCAACCUGGGAACGGCAUCCGGAACUGUCAAGCUAGAGUGCAGGAGAGGAAGGUAGAAUUCCCGGUGUAGCGGUGAAAUGCGUAGAGAGCGGGAGGAAUACCAGUGGCGAAGGCGGCCUUCUGGACUGACACUGACACUGAGGUGCGAAAGCGUGGGUAGCAAACAGGAUUAGAUACCCGAGUAGUC
Molecule: ribosomal RNA, 465 nt
Filed under: Vreelandella stevensii
Lineage: Bacteria; Pseudomonadati; Pseudomonadota; Gammaproteobacteria; Oceanospirillales; Halomonadaceae
Description: partial 16S ribosomal RNA
Rfam family: Bacterial small subunit ribosomal RNA
Source: RNAcentral